Molecule: long non-coding RNA, 386 nt
Filed under: Mus pahari (shrew mouse)
Lineage: Eukaryota; Metazoa; Chordata; Mammalia; Rodentia; Muridae
Description: lncRNA (MGP_PahariEiJ_G0005365.1)
Source: RNAcentral
GCACGUCCAGCCCCUCACCGUGUGUGCACGCAUGAUAGGGCAAGUAUAUGGAUGUCAGAGACCCACCGCAGGAGUCACUUCUCACCACUGCGUGGAUUCCAGGAUCAACUGAGGCCACCGUGCCUCAGAGAAAUCACUGCGACUUCCUGUCUUCCAGGCUGGAAUCCAGAGGUUCCAGAGGACCCAGAAGGUUGUAGUAUUGGUAAGCUGCUCUCUGGAGAGGGGAAUGGGGUCCUCACUCUGUCCAGCCAAGUCAAAAUCACAGGCUUAGCCUUAAAGUGGGUCCAGGAUACUGGCCCAGGGAUCCCUGCAGAGCCUCAUUGAGUAAAAUGAAACCAGAUUUUCAGACCUUGUCUAAACUUGUAUCCUCAAGGGCUGGUGAGAUG